RNAcentral lists this ribosomal RNA (429 nucleotides) under Bacteroidota bacterium. RNAcentral describes it as "Bacteroidetes bacterium partial 16S ribosomal RNA". It matches the Rfam family "Bacterial small subunit ribosomal RNA", at positions 355 to 776 of the family's 1533-position model. The record is from RNAcentral. Lineage: Bacteria; Pseudomonadati; Bacteroidota. RNAcentral also lists the same sequence under 1 other name.
UGGGGAAUCUUCCGCAAUGGGCGCAAGCCUGACGGAGCAAUGCCGCGUGAGUGAAGAAGGCCUUCGGGUUGUAAAACUCUGUCCUCAUCCAAGAGAGAGACCUGUAGUAACUGCCAGGUCUAGGACGGUAGAUGAGGAGGAAGCCCCGGCUAACUAUGUGCCAGCAGCCGCGGUAAAACAUAGGGGGCAAGCGUUGUCCGGAAUCACUGGGCGUAAAGGGCGCGCAGGCGGUCUGUUAAGUCAGAUGUGAAAGGUUAGGGCUCAACCCUGAACGUGCAUCUGAUACUGGCAGACUUGAGUAUGGAAGAGGUAAGUGGAAUUCCUAGUGUAGCGGUGAAAUGCGUAGAUAUUAGGAGGAACACCAGUGGCGAAGGCGACUUACUGGGCCAUAACUGACGCUGAGGCGCGAAAGCGUGGGGAGCAAACAGG